Lotus japonicus is the source of this 1904-nucleotide long non-coding RNA. RefSeq lists it as uncharacterized. The record is from RefSeq and is a predicted model, not a curated record. The transcript is spliced from 4 exons. Lineage: Eukaryota; Viridiplantae; Streptophyta; Magnoliopsida; Fabales; Fabaceae.
AGCAAGUGCAUUUGUUGGAUGUUCAUUUGAAGACAAUAUUGUUAUGAAAAUUGACUUUGGCUAUACUGUUCAUUCUUUGGGUUAUUAUUCUAUUAAAUGUGUGGUUACUCUUGAUUUCAAUCCUUCUCAUUCUAGGGUAUAAUUUAAUGGUGGCUUCUUAAAAUAUUUUUUGGCAGGUCCUACCUGCACAACCUUCUAAAGCAUUAGAAACCCCCAAUGAAUAAUUGAAUAUUGAUAUUUGUUCUUCUGAUAUUUGCAAAAUGGGUAUAUUGAACACCUACCCAUUGCAGUCAUUAAUAAGAGGAAUAAAUGGAUUUCUUUCCCCAAUAAGAGGAAUUUUGUUGAAUAUACUCUUUCAAGAGUUGCUGCUUUUUGCUCUCUUGGUGAGUUUCGUUCAAAGCCUCUCCUUCAGCAGUUGUGCAACAGCCCCCUCAUUAUGCAGAGUUGCAGUAGUUCUGCUAUGGUAAGGUUCGGUGCUGGACUGUAAAGUUUAGCAGUUCCUUCACUGGCCGUGCGUGGGAGUGAAGGCUCAGUCUGAGCAAAAGGUUGCAAGAAGCACCUUAGGAAGAAAAGCGGAUUUAAAAUGAUUUUUUAGAUGCAGGUUGGUUGUUUGCUUGAAAAUUGUUUUCCGGCGGAACAAUCGACGGUGGCGAAUGAUUCCGAUUCCGUAUCUGAGAGAUUCCUCCACUCUGUAGUAUUAUGAUGCUAUGUCGUCACGCGUUUGAGAAAUUGUAGUUGUCCCUCCAACAAAUGACUUUAACGUUUGGAAACCGAACAGAACAGUACGGAACAGAACAGAACGGAACGGAACAGGACGGAAUAGGACAAUUGUGUUUUGUAUACUGUGUUUGGUAAAUAUGUUACAAACAGAACAGAACAACAAGAUUAAUUACCUAUAUAUCCCUAUCAUAUUUAAUGUUUAGUUGAACAUAAUUUUCUUUUUUAUUAUUGUUUGAUAUAUGUUAUAUAUUGUUAUAUACAAAUAAGCAUAAAAAAAUUAUUAUAUUAUCUUCCAUUUCUAAAAAAAACAUUAAAAGUUAGAUUGAAUUUGAGAAGGGAAAAAAGAUAACGCAGAUUUCAAAAAAAAUAAAAAUAAAGAAGAUAAGGUAGUUUUAAAAAAUAAGAAGAUAUUUUGAUUAUUUAAAAAAAGAAGAAGAAGAUAAACACGUUUCUUUCCCAAACAGCGCUGCAGCAACGCCUUCAAUGGCAUCUUCCCCUUUCAUGGUGGUUUCCUCUCACAGCCAAGCAACUUCGAUCUGCCACUGCCACCGGCAAGCCUUGCCUCCAUCAAGUCGAGCCCCCAUCGUGUGGAGCCGGUCCGCCACUGGAUCUCCGCCACGCCGCGACCAGAGACCAUCACGCUAAAUGUCCAGAUCCGCUGCCAUGGAUGCUCAUAUCGCUGUGAACGGAGCCACAUCGUGAACCAGACGUCCUUCUCCCUUGUCUCUUCGUCUUUAUUUCUCAUCCCUCAUUUGUCUUCUGCGACGUCGAGUGAUUGUGGGGAGGGUUCCAUGAACUUUGAUUGUAACCAUGUUUGAGCAGAUUCACAAGAUUUGAGUAUUAAGAAAAAAAAUGGAAGAGGAAUUGCUGGACGGAUUUGAGAGGAAAAAAAUUGUCAGAGAAGAGGGAAGGGUAGAGUUAAGGAAAUAUGAUAAUAGAUUAAGGGUAAUUUUGUCUUUGUAAAAUAUUUUAAUAAGUGUUCCGUUCCGUUUCCUUCGGUUCCACCUUUUUCACGGAACCAAAAUGUCCUGUUCUAGGAGCAUUAUGUUCUGUUCUGUUCCAUUUAAAAAACACAACAAACGUAGAACAGAACCCAUAUGUCCCGUUCCGUUCCGUUCAAACGUGUACACCAAACGCUAGGGAUUAAAGUUGUGUUUUCUCCCUUAGGACGUCUAACUUGUUUA